UACGGAGGGUGCAAGCGUUACUCGGAAUUAUUGGGCGUAAAGCGUGCGUAGGUGGUGUGUUAAGUCUGUCGUGAAAGCCCCGGGCUCAACCUGGGAAUGGCGGUGGAUACUGGCUCGCUAGAGUGCGGUAGAGGAGAGUGGAAUUCCCGGUGUAGCAGUGAAAUGCGCAGAUAUCAGGAGGAACACCGGUGGCGAAGGCGGGUCUCUGGGCCGUAACUGACGCUGAGGAGCGAAAGCGUGGGGAGCGAACAGG
RNAcentral lists this ribosomal RNA (253 nucleotides) under uncultured bacterium. RNAcentral describes it as "partial 16S ribosomal RNA". It matches the Rfam family "Bacterial small subunit ribosomal RNA", at positions 524 to 776 of the family's 1533-position model. The record is from RNAcentral.